AUCCUACGGGAGGCAGCAGUGGGGAAUUUUGCGCAAUGGGGGAAACCCUGACGCAGCAACGCCGCGUGAGUGAUGAAGGCCUUCGGGUUGUAAAGCUCUUUUGGUGGGAAAGAAUCGCGCAGGUGCUAAUAUCACCUGCGCCUGACGGUACUCACAGAAAAAGUUCCGGCUAACUCCGUGCCAGCAGCCGCGGUAAUAAU
This 200-nucleotide ribosomal RNA is filed under the name uncultured bacterium. RNAcentral's name for it is "partial 16S ribosomal RNA". It matches the Rfam family "Bacterial small subunit ribosomal RNA", at positions 335 to 526 of the family's 1533-position model. The record is from RNAcentral.